Molecule: ribosomal RNA, 542 nt
Filed under: uncultured bacterium
Lineage: Bacteria
Description: bacterial SSU rRNA
Rfam family: Bacterial small subunit ribosomal RNA
Source: RNAcentral
GAUGAACGCUGGCGGCGUGCCUAAUACAUGCAAGUCGAGCGAACUUAACUAAAUGAAUGCGGUGCUUGCACCUGAUUGAUAAAACAUCGGAAUGAGUGGCGGACGGGUGAGUAACACGUGGGUAACCUGCCCAGAAGUGGGGGAUAACAUUUGGAAACAGAUGCUAAUACCGCAUAAUAGAUAGAACCACAUGGUUCUAUUUUGAAAGAUGGCCUUUGUGCUAUCACUUCUGGAUGGACCCGCGGUGUAUUAGCUAGUUGGUAAGGUAACGGCUUACCAAGGCAAUGAUACAUAGCCGAACUGAGAGGUUGAUCGGCCACAAUGGGACUGAGACACGGCCCAUACUCCUACGGGAGGCAGCAGUAGGGAAUCUUCCACAAUGGGCGCAAGCCUGAUGGAGCAACACCGCGUGAGUGAAGAAGGGUUUCGGCUCGUAAAACUCUGUUGUUAAAGAAGAACGUAUCUAAGAGUAACUGCUUAGGUAGUGACGGUAUUUAACCAGAAAGCCACGGCUAACUACGUGCCAGCAGCCGCAGUAAGAC